UCCCGAGUGCUUGCACUCAAUUGGAAAGAGGAGUGGCGGACGGGUGAGUAACACGUGGGUAACCUACCCAUCAGAGGGGGAUAACACUUGGAAACAGGUGCUAAUACCGCAUAACAGUUUAUGCCGCAUGGCAUAAGAGUGAAAGGCGCUUUCGGGUGUCGCUGAUGGAUGGACCCGCGGUGCAUUAGCUAGUUGGUGAGGUAACGGCUCACCAAGGCCACGAUGCAUAGCCGACCUGAGAGGGUGAUCGGCCACACUGGGACUGAGACACGGCCCAGACUCCUACGGGAGGCAGCAGUAGGGAAUCUUCGGCAAUGGACGAAAGUCUGACCGAGCAACGCCGCGUGAGUGAAGAAGGUUUUCGGAUCGUAAAACUCUGUUGUUAGAGAAGAACAAGGACGUUAGUAACUGAACGUCCCCUGACGGUAUCUAACCAGAAAGCCACGGCUAACUACGUGCCAGCAGCCGCGGUAAUACGUAGGUGGCAAGCGUUGUCCGGAUUUAUUGGGCGUAAAGCGAGCGCAGGCGGUUUCUUAAGUCUGAUGUGAAAGCCCCCGGCUCAACCGGGGAGGGUCAUUGGAAACUGGGAGACUUGAGUGCAGAAGAGGAGAGUGGAAUUCCAUGUGUAGCGGUGAAAUGCGUAGAUAUAUGGAGGAACACCAGUGGCGAA
RNAcentral lists this ribosomal RNA (670 nucleotides) under uncultured bacterium. RNAcentral describes it as "bacterial SSU rRNA". It matches the Rfam family "Bacterial small subunit ribosomal RNA", at positions 70 to 719 of the family's 1533-position model. The record is from RNAcentral.